GACGAACGCUGGCGGCGUGCUUAACACAUGCAAGUCGAACGGAAAGGCCUUUUCGGAGGUACUCGAGUGGCGAACGGGUGCGUAACACGUGGGUGAUCUGCCCUGCACUCUGGGAUAAGCCUGGGAAACUGGGUCUAAUACCGGAUAGGACCGCACUUUAGUGUGUGUGGUGGAAAGUUUUUUCGGUGUAGGAUGAGCCCGCGGCCUAUCAGCUUGUUGGUGGGGUAAUGGCCUACCAAGGCGGCGACGGGUAGCCGGACUGAGAGGUUGGUCGGCCACAUUGGGACUGAGAUACGGCCCAGACUCCUACGGGAGGCAGCAGUGGGGAAUAUUGCACAAUGGGCGCAAGCCUGAUGCAGCGACGCCGCGUGGGGGAUGACGGCCUUCGGGUUGUAAACUCCGUUCGCCAGGGACGAAGCGUUUUGUGACGGUACCUGGAGAAGAAGCACCGGCUAACUACGUG
RNAcentral lists this ribosomal RNA (463 nucleotides) under uncultured bacterium. RNAcentral's name for it is "partial 16S ribosomal RNA". It matches the Rfam family "Bacterial small subunit ribosomal RNA", at positions 28 to 507 of the family's 1533-position model. The record is from RNAcentral.